AACGUGAGUCGCGCGGCCCCGCUCCGGGAAGGCGCCACGGCCUCGGCUUGGUUCAGCUGGGCUGGGUUCCCCAACCCGGCAACCCCUCCUCCAGGCAGCCUGCUGUGGGGCGGGGCGGUGGUCGGGCCGUGGGUCCCCAGGGGAGAAGGAGAGCAAGGCCUGUCUCUCCUUGGGAGACGACUCCCCCAAGGGCCAUUCCCCAUCCUCCGCCAGCCCCGGGAAGGACUCAGCCCCUUGACUCGGCGCCUCAGCCAGGCCCUGGUCAGGGGACACGACUUGGCCAGGCCCAGGGGAUCCUCCAGGUCUCACGCCAAGCCUUGCCCCCAGCCAGGAAGCCCGCGGUGAUCGGGCUGCUGGACGUAUUCACUCCUGAUGAGACCCUGGAUGACUUCACGGACUUCCGACCCCUCUGACCCAGAUGCCUUGCCGCGCCCCCAUCGCCCCCAAGCACCUCCCUCAUUUCUGGCACAAAGUUCUGAAGUUGAAACCUGACUGCCU
This 498-nucleotide small RNA is filed under the name Pan troglodytes (chimpanzee). Its description in RNAcentral is "processed transcript". The record is from RNAcentral. Lineage: Eukaryota; Metazoa; Chordata; Mammalia; Primates; Hominidae.